CACGUAGGCGGUUCGUCGCGUCCGGUGUGAAAGUCCAUCGCCUAACGGUGGAUCUACGCCGGGUACGGGCGGGCUGGAGUGCGGUAGGGGAGACUGGAAUUCCCGGUGUAACGGUGGAAUGUGUAGAUAUCGGGAAGAACACCAAUGGCGAAGGCAGGUCUCUGGGCCGUUACUGACGCUGAGGAGCGAAAGCGUGGGGAGCGUACA
This 207-nucleotide ribosomal RNA is filed under the name uncultured bacterium. RNAcentral describes it as "partial 16S ribosomal RNA". It matches the Rfam family "Bacterial small subunit ribosomal RNA", at positions 568 to 774 of the family's 1533-position model. The record is from RNAcentral.